GUUCUUUGCAGCAGCAAAGUCAUGCCGUGAGCGUUUGCAAGAACGCCAACCGAACGGGGCUCACUCUU
RNAcentral lists this non-coding RNA (68 nucleotides) under uncultured Symbiodinium. The record is from RNAcentral. Lineage: Eukaryota; Dinophyceae; Suessiales; Symbiodiniaceae.